AUUGAACGCUGGCGGCAGGCCUAACACAUGCAAGUCGAGCGGAUGACGGGAGCUUGCUCCUUGAUUCAGCGGCGGACGGGUGAGUAAUGCCUAGGAAUCUGCCUGGUAGUGGGGGACAACGUUUCGAAAGGAACGCUAAUACCGCACACGUCCUACGGGAGAAAGCAGGGGACCUUCGGGCCUUGCGCGAUCAGAUGAGCCUAGGUCGGAUUAGCUAGUUGGUGGGGUAAUGGCUCACCAAGGCGACGAUCCGUAACGGGUCUGAGAGGAUGAUCAGUCACACUGGAACUGAGACACGGUCCAGACUCCUACGGGAGGCAGCAGUGGGGAAUAUUGGACAAUGGGCGAAAGCCUGAUCCAGCCAUGCCGCGUGUGUGAAGAAGGUCUUCGGAUUGUAAAGCACUUUAAGUUGGGAGGAAGGGUAGUAAGUUAAUACCUUGCUGUUUUGACGUUACCGACAGAAUAAGCACCGGCUAACUCUGUGCCAGCAGCCGCCGUAA
RNAcentral lists this ribosomal RNA (500 nucleotides) under uncultured bacterium. RNAcentral's name for it is "partial 16S ribosomal RNA". It matches the Rfam family "Bacterial small subunit ribosomal RNA", at positions 30 to 523 of the family's 1533-position model. The record is from RNAcentral.